Molecule: long non-coding RNA, 255 nt
Filed under: Carica papaya (papaya)
Lineage: Eukaryota; Viridiplantae; Streptophyta; Magnoliopsida; Brassicales; Caricaceae
Description: long non-coding RNA (CPAP_LNC014514)
Source: RNAcentral
AAUGAAAUGAGUAUUUAAAUAUAUCAAAUGCGGAAGCGAGAUCAAAAUUUCAGUUAACAUCCCUUACACGAAAAACAAAAAACGUACUUAAAAUAUAAAAGAUUAAACUAACUAAGAGAGAAACUCGAAAAUAAAACUAUGAGUAUGACUACAGAGUCUCUAGGCAUCCCCUUCGUCGUCCUCCUGCGGAACGGGCUCGGGAACCAUGUCUUCCUGAUCUGAAAUGGUUAAAUAAGGAGUGAGCUACACUAGCCC